AUUGAACGCUGGCGGAAUGCUUUACACAUGCAAGUUUCGAACGGUAGAGGGGGCAACCCCUCGAGAGUGGCGAACGGGUGAGUAAUAUAUCGGAACGUGCCCAGUCGUGGGGGAUAACGUAGCGAAAGUUACGCUAAUACCGCAUACGAUCUAAGGAUGAAAGCGGGGGAUCGCAAGACCUCGCGCGAUUGGAGCGGCCGAUAUCAGAUUAGGUAGUUGGUGGGGUAAAGGCUCACCAAGCCAACGAUCUGUAGCUGGUCUGAGAGGACGACCAGCCACACUGGAACUGAGACACGGUCCAGACUCCUACGGGAGGCAGCAGUGGGGAAUUUUGGACAAUGGACGCAAGUCUGAUCCAGCCAUUCCGCGUGCAGGAUGAAGGCCCUCGGGUUGUAAACUGCUUUUGUACGGAACGAAAAGGUCUCUCUUAAUACGGGGGGCUCAUGACGGUACCGUAAGAAUAAGCACCGGCUAACUACGUG
Molecule: ribosomal RNA, 482 nt
Filed under: uncultured bacterium
Lineage: Bacteria
Description: bacterial SSU rRNA
Rfam family: Bacterial small subunit ribosomal RNA
Source: RNAcentral